GACGAACGCUGGCGGCGUGGAUUAGGCAUGCAAGUCGAACGGUAGGAUACCUUCGGGUAUCUGAGAGUGGCGAACGGGUGAGUAACACGUAGGUGAUCUACCCUCAAGAUUGGGACAACCCAGGGAAACUUGGGCUAAUACCGGAUGAAAGCAGCAGUGAUGUUGUUUGAAAGGUGGCGUAAGCUGCCGUUUGGGGAUGAGCCUGCGCUCUAUUAGUUAGUUGGCGGGGUAAAGGCCCACCAAGGCGAUGAUAGAUAGGCGGCCUUAACGGGUGGUCGCCCACACUGGGAUUGAGAUACGGCCCAGACUCCUACGGGAGGCAGCAGUCGAGAAUAGUCUACAAUGGCCGAAAGGCUGAUAGUGCGACGCCGCGUGAACGAAGAAGCCCUUCGGGGUGUAAAGUUCUUUUAUAUGUGAGCAGUGCUUUUUAUGUGAACAGCAAGUGGGGAGAGAGAUAUUAGCAAUAUGAAUAAAGCAAACGGCUAAACUCCGUGCCCAGACG
RNAcentral lists this ribosomal RNA (502 nucleotides) under uncultured bacterium. Its description in RNAcentral is "bacterial SSU rRNA". It matches the Rfam family "Bacterial small subunit ribosomal RNA", at positions 28 to 517 of the family's 1533-position model. The record is from RNAcentral.